Molecule: microRNA, 20 nt
Filed under: Monodelphis domestica (gray short-tailed opossum)
Lineage: Eukaryota; Metazoa; Chordata; Mammalia; Didelphimorphia; Didelphidae
Description: mdo-miR-7244-3p
Source: miRBase by way of RNAcentral
UCACCUGUUCUUCCUAUAUU